CACGAACGCUGGCGGCUUGCCUAACACAUGCAAGUCGAACGAGACCUUCGGGUCUAGUGGCGCACGGGUGCGUAACGCGUGGGAACCUGCCCUUAGGUUCGGAAUAACUCCCCGAAAGGGGUGCUGAUACCGGAUAAUGUCUUCGGACCAAAGAUUUAUCGCCUUUGGAUGGGCCCGCGUUGGAUUAGCUAGUUGGUAGGGUAAAAGCCUACCAAGGCGACGAUCCAUAGCUGGUCUGAGAGGAUGAUCAGCCACACUGGGACUGAGACACGGCCCAGACUCCUACGGGAGGCAGCAGUGGGGAAUAUUGGACAAUGGGCGAAAGCCUGAUCCAGCAAUGCCGCGUGAGUGAUGAAGGCCUUAGGGUUGUAAAGCUCUUUUACCCGGGAUGAUAAUGACAGUACCGGGAGAAUAAGCUCCGGCUAACUCCGUG
Molecule: ribosomal RNA, 433 nt
Filed under: uncultured bacterium
Lineage: Bacteria
Description: partial 16S ribosomal RNA
Rfam family: Bacterial small subunit ribosomal RNA
Source: RNAcentral